GUGAGUUGGGGGAGUGGUUUAACCCAGCACCCUGCUAAGGUGUCGGCCUCGCAAGAGGCCCGUGGGUUCAAAUCCCACACUCACCGC
Molecule: transfer RNA, 87 nt
Filed under: Pectobacterium phage vB_PcaM_CBB
Lineage: Duplodnaviria; Heunggongvirae; Uroviricota; Caudoviricetes
Description: Pectinobacterium phage vB_PcaM_CBB tRNA-Ser
Rfam family: tRNA
About the family: Transfer RNA (tRNA) molecules are approximately 80 nucleotides in length.
Source: RNAcentral